CAGUCGCCGCGGUAAUACGUAGGUGGCAAGCGUUGUCCGGAAUUAUUGGGCGUAAAGGGCUCGCAGGCGGUUUCUUAAGUCUGAUGUGAAAGCCCCCGGCUCAACCGGGGAGGGUCAUUGGAAACUGGGAAACUUGAGUGCAGAAGAGGAGAGUGGAAUUCCACGUGUAGCGGUGAAAUGCGUAGAGAUGUGGAGGAGCACCAGUGGCGAAGGCGACUCUCUGGUCUGUAACUGACGCUGAGGAGCGAAAGCGUGGGGAGCGAACAGGAUUAGAUACCCCCGUAGUCCCUGUCUCUUAUAC
Molecule: ribosomal RNA, 301 nt
Filed under: uncultured bacterium
Lineage: Bacteria
Description: partial 16S ribosomal RNA
Rfam family: Bacterial small subunit ribosomal RNA
Source: RNAcentral